Molecule: non-coding RNA, 1490 nt
Organism: Podarcis muralis (Common wall lizard)
Lineage: Eukaryota; Metazoa; Chordata; Lepidosauria; Squamata; Lacertidae
Source: RefSeq, a predicted model, not a curated record
UCUGUAAGAUUUCAGUCAGAGUCAGUCUGCCUCAGUUGUGAGCAGUGUGUAAUCCCAGUCAAACUGUGUGGAACCAUGUUGUUUGUGAAGAAGUUUAUUUUAAUCCAUACGUGAUCAAUAAUUGCCUGGGACUGUCCAUUUCACUAAUUCCUUGAAGAAGGAGGAAGAAGCGGUCGCUAGGAAGUGUGUAUGUUGAUAUCGCACAGAGGCAAGAGCAAUUUGGGAGGAAAGGACGGCUAACAGGAUUGGGAAAAGAUAUAAUACUCUAAAAGAUGACAUACGUCCAUGCUGUGAGUGACAGGAUUUAUUCCUGCAGUAGAUAAAAAGGAAUGAACUUUCAUCAUCCCAGUCUUGUAACAUGACUCCCCUGGGAUAGGAACAAUCUUUGUAGUGGUACCUCUGGAUGCAAACGGGAAAACGCUCAACCUGAAGCAUAUUUAACCCGAGGUCUUCACCACUCACCUGAAGCACACAGUGAUGGAGCCUGGCAAUGCACAAGGGUCACUUGCUUUUAAGGAGCAGGCUGGUGCUUUGAUGUUUAUAUUGUAACGAUAUGUAUGAAAUCUUUUAUAUGCAUAUAUAUAAAUUUAUCAAUAAUGAUAAUAACAGAGAAAACUUAAACUUAAAUAAAUUACCAGCAUCUCUCUUCCUACAUAUUAAUCUCAGAGCUCUUAUUUGGUCCAUCUUUUCUGAACCUGUUUACUCUCCAUGAUUCACAGGAGCCCCAGAGCUGUACAAAGAAUGAUAUAUGGGACACAUGUCAGCAAGCUUGAUUAAUCUUCAUUGUCCUUAAUCAAACCCCUCAAAGUACCUCAAAAACAUCUCCUUGAAGUUACCCCCCUGCUCUUUGCUGCAUCACACAGAUCACUCUCCCUGGAACAUUCAUACCUGAACAGUGUGUUUGCAUCCCAUAGUGACCUGUCCCCAUUUCAAGUGGCCUCUGUGACCAGGUCUCAAUUGCAUUGCGAGGGAUGAGCAGCCCACACCCAGGGCAGCAAACCAGAACACAAUAUUCAAUGAAGAAGACAUCCCUGACAGCUAGAUGUCUGCUUUGCCUUAUUAAUGGCCUUCUUCAAACACUGCAAAACAGAUCAGCAUGGCACUGGCCCUCCUUUCACCUUGCAAAAGGUGAACACCUGACUUUCUGUACCCCUGACUUACGGUUUGUCUUAUGCCCACUAAGACCAGGCCCUUUAGUUUGGUGUAGGUAUCAGGGUGGGGAGGAUUCAAUUCAGUUUGCAUUUAAAGCCAAAACUAUCAAAUUCACAUUUUUUGAAACAAUAUGGCUACCAAAACACACAGCCACCCUUCCAAGUUCCUAUUUCUCUGAACUCUGAAAUGCAGUUAUCCAGCCAGUGUUUACAAAAAUAUAUAGGCUAGGAGAAAGUCCACAUAAAAAUGAAUGCAUUAUUGAAAAUAACACAGAAAAAUGCAUUGUAUUAGGAGACAUUUAUUGAAAAAUGUGCACAUUAGUCACAUUAGGAGAAAUU